CUACGGGGCGCAGCAGUGAGGAAUUUUGCGCAAUGGGGGAAACCCUGACGCAGCAACGCCGCGUGAGUGAUGAAGGCUUUCGAGUCGUAAAGCUCUGUCAAGUGGGAAGAACCUACUAAGUGCCAAUACCACUUAGUACUGACGGUACCACUGAAGGAAGCACCGGCUAACUCCGUGCCAGCAGCCGCGGUAAUACGGGGGGUGCAAGCGUGACUCGGAAUUAUUGGGCGUAAAGGGCGCGCAGGCGGCCAGGUAAGUCAGAUGUGAAAGCCCGGGGCUCAACCCCGGAAGUGCAUUUGAAACUACUUGGCUUGAGUAUGGGAGAGGGAAGUGGAAUUCCUGGUGUAGAGGUGAAAUUCGUAGAUAUCAGGAGGAACACCGGUGGCGAAGGCGACUUCCUGGACCAAUACUGACGCUGAGGCGCGAAGGCGUGGGUAGCAAACAGGAUUAGAUACCCGCGUAGUC
RNAcentral lists this ribosomal RNA (465 nucleotides) under uncultured bacterium. RNAcentral's name for it is "partial 16S ribosomal RNA". It matches the Rfam family "Bacterial small subunit ribosomal RNA", at positions 339 to 795 of the family's 1533-position model. The record is from RNAcentral.